UACGAACUGUGCGACCGUUAUUCGGCAUCACUGGGCUUACAGGGUGCGUAGGCGUCUUUUCAAGUCAGGUGUGAAAGCCCCCGGCUCAACCGGGGAAUUGCGCUUGAAACUGGAGAGCUCGAGUCAGCUAGAGGUGCACGGAACUUCCAGUGGAGCGGUGAAAUGUGUUGAUAUUGGAAGGAACACCGGAGGCGAAAGCGGUGCACUGGGGCUGGUCUGACGCUGAGGCACGAAAGCCAGGGGAGCGAACGGG
This 253-nucleotide ribosomal RNA is filed under the name uncultured bacterium. Its description in RNAcentral is "partial 16S ribosomal RNA". It matches the Rfam family "Bacterial small subunit ribosomal RNA", at positions 524 to 776 of the family's 1533-position model. The record is from RNAcentral.